CAAGUUCUCAACCACAUCAAUUUCAAUGUGGCUUGGAUGGUGGGGGUUCUUUUUGCAGGCUUCUGUAAAUAUGAAGUCGGCUCCCCUGAAAUGUAUUAGUGGUAUCUGAGCUACUACAGGUGUGAUAACUAUCUAUGCCUUGGUAUGCUGCAUGAAACAGAUUGCGCCGCUUCUAACAAGUGGGAAACACAAUUUUGAUGA
Molecule: unclassified non-coding RNA, 201 nt
Filed under: uncultured Inocybe
Lineage: Eukaryota; Fungi; Basidiomycota; Agaricomycetes; Agaricales; Cortinariaceae
Description: sequence contains ITS2
Source: RNAcentral